GACGAACGCUGGCGGCGUGCUUAACACAUGCAAGUCGAACGGAAAGGCCCCGUUUUUGUGGGGUGCUCGAGUGGCGAACGGGUGAGUAAUACGUGAGUAACCUGCCCCUGACUUUGGGAUAACUUCAGGAAACUGGGGUUAAUACCGGAUAGGAGUUCCUGCUGCAUGGUGGGGGUAGGAAAGUUUCGGCGGUUGGGGAUGGACUCGCGGCUUAUCAGCUUGUUGGUGGGGUAGUGGCUUACCAUGGCUUUGACGGGUAGCCGGCCUGAGGGGGUGACCGGCCACAUUGGGACUGGAAUACGGCCCGGACUCCUACGGGAGGCAGCGGUGGGGAAUAUUGCACAAUGGGCGGAAGCCUGAUGCGGCAACGCCGCGUGCGGGAUGACGGCCUUCGGUUUGUAAACCGCUUUCGCCUGUGACGAGGCGUGAGUGACGGUAAUGGGUAAAGAAGCACCGGCUAACUACGUG
This 468-nucleotide ribosomal RNA is filed under the name uncultured bacterium. Its description in RNAcentral is "partial 16S ribosomal RNA". It matches the Rfam family "Bacterial small subunit ribosomal RNA", at positions 28 to 507 of the family's 1533-position model. The record is from RNAcentral.